AAUCUUACGAAUUACUUUCACAAUAUCUUGAAGCAAUUAAGAGGAAAAAUUCAGGUACCGAAUAUGAAAUAGUGUCUAAAACAAUCACGCCGGGAGUGGAGAGGUUCAUGCGAGUAUUUUGGGUAUUUGGACCCGCUAUCAAAGGGUUCUCUUUUUGUCUUCUACUCUUCAGCAUCGAUGACACCCAUUUAUAUGGAAAGUACAAAGGAGUACUCUUGGUUGCGACCGAUGUAGAUGCAAAUGGUGGGUUAUUUCCAAUAGCUUUCGUAGUUGUGGAGGUGGAGGAUCCAUCAAGUUGGAAGUGAUUUUUAAUGUAUUUACAGAUACAUCCCUACUGUUUAAAGUUCAAGAACGAUACUUUUAUUACUGACCAGAUGAAAGGAAUUCCACGAGCCUUGCACGAGGGGUGGAGUGCACCACAUCAUCACUGGUAUAUACACUAUGCUUCCCGGGCCAGUUAGUGAUGACGUCCUCUAUGAUCAGUCACGCCACCGUUCAGAGAGUAUAUCAUUUACAUUGAGAGGACCAGAGUUAGUUAUGAUUGAUCAUAGCCCUGGACAUACGCGUUGGCCACUUGAAGAUCAGCGUAUCAUUGCUCUAGUAGCCCAAGCAGGUUUUCUCACAUGCUCAAAAUUAUGGUGGAUGAAGCUCGAUUGUGUACUACUUAAUACAUUGAUGGAUAGGUGGAGACCAGAGACUAACACUUUCCAUCUACGUGUCGGCGAGGCGACUAUUACUCUCUAGGACAUAGCAGUGAUCCUUAGUCUCCGCAUUGAUGGCCCUUGUGUUAUGGAGACUGAUAGGCAUGUGUGGCGCCGAGUCUGUAAUGAUUUGUUAGGACUAUCUCUAGAGUCCUUACCUUGGUGAUAUAUUAGAUUGAAGUGUCUAAAAGAAAAUUUCGCAAACCCCUUGCUAGAAGAUGCAUCCCAAGUCAUGAUCCAGCAGCAUACUCGUGCAUAUAUUUUGCACAUGAUCAGGACACUUCAUUUUUCCGAUUCAAGUAAACAUAAAGUACAUUUGAAGUACAACUUAUUAUUGUUAUAAUGCACUAUCUGAAGAUGUUUUUGCUAUAUUUUUACUCAUUAUUGUUAUAAAAUACGACUAAACGCAUUUGCCAUGUGAUAGGUGGUUACCGCUUCUCCAAGACUUUGACAGGUGCGGGACAUUAUCAUGGGGUAGUACUGUUUUAGCAUACCUAUAUAGAGAAAUAUCGAAGGUUGCUUUUAUGCAAUAUAAAGAGCUCAAAGGAUGUUUGACAUUGUUAUAAGUUUGGGCAUAGGAGAGAUUGGUUUUGAGACUGAGAUUAUGCGAGACGCGAGAUUUAGAUGGAUAGAUUCCACUAGGAUGCAGAUGGAAUCUCACUAAAGCAUACGAUGAGGCCCCGGCAAGACAGUUAGAUUUCGACAGAGGAGAGCUCGAUCGGAUGAAAAUUUAGGAGAACUCGAAUUUGAAUUUAAGUUAUUUAAUGCUACUGAUAUAUUUUAAAGAGUUAUUAAUAUAUGGAAUAUUUUAUAAUUCGAGUGGCAGCCAUACGCACUUUAACUACCUCGUCUACCACUGAUUUGUAUAAAGGGACACGAUAUAUGGAGAGCCAGAGUUCCUCUCAUAUGUUUCAAAAUUAUGGAGAUGCAUGUGCCGAAUCGUAUGCUUAGACAGUUUGGUUUCUCACAACACGUUCCACAAUAUGUCAAAAAAUAUAGAGAAAGGCAUUUAAGGGUAGGCUUCACAUUGACUGGCGGAUUGUGCAUCAUCCCUACAUUGCUAGAUGGAAUAAUUAGCAUGGGAGCAUUGUCGUGCAGCUUUAUCCUCCGAUGGAGGAAGUCGAUUAUAUUAGAUGGUAUUGGGGGAUUACCAGACGGUGGAUAAUCACUCAAACCAUGCCUCUAGUCAACGAAAUCGAGAUACGCUCCCAACAAGCAAGAUAUGUACCAAGAAGUGUAGAUGAGAGAGAAUGGAUAGACGCUAUGGAUGAGAUAGAGGGGAUUGCAAAUGAGGGCAUAGCUACCACCACAGGAGAUUCAGUACAUGUAUUGGUAUUGCAUCGGAUAGUGGCGAGGGUUCGUAGAUCUCUUCAUCAAAACUCAUGAGGAUCGGCAUGAAGGUCGCAAGCAUAUGGCGCAUGAGGAGAGGGUAUAUGCACGCCGAUGAAGACGUGGUAGAUCUUACACGCACGACAAUGGAGCUGGUCCAUCACAGCCCCACACACAACCAGAGAGCGAGCACAUACAAGCUCAAGUCGAAGGAGGCCGCUGACGAUCUGAACGGGUACGAAGAGGGAGAAAACGGGGGAGGGGCGGACUUUUAGGUUGUUAGCUUUUCUACUUAGACUAUAUAUUGUCGUAUGGAUAGACUUGAUACAUUUGGAUUUGUUUAGAGCAUUUUGUCAUA
This is a long non-coding RNA of Asparagus officinalis (garden asparagus), 2388 nucleotides long. RefSeq lists it as uncharacterized. The transcript is spliced from 5 exons. The record is from RefSeq and is a predicted model, not a curated record. NCBI's taxonomy places the organism in Eukaryota, Viridiplantae, Streptophyta, Magnoliopsida, Asparagales, Asparagaceae.